CGGGAGCGACUUAGCGGCGGACGGGUGAGUAACGCGUGGGUAACCUGCCCCAUACCGGGGGAUAACGGUUAGAAAUGACCGCUAAUACCGCUUAAGCGCACGAGGCCGCAUGGCCGCGCGCGAAAAACUCCGGUGGUAUGGGAUGGGCCCGCGUCUGAUUAGCUAGUUGGCGGGGUAAAGGCCCACCAAGGCGACGAUCAGUAGCCGACCUGAGAGGGUGGCCGGCCACAUUGGGACUGAGACACGGCCCAAACUCCUACGGAAGGCAGCAG
Molecule: ribosomal RNA, 272 nt
Filed under: uncultured bacterium
Lineage: Bacteria
Description: partial 16S ribosomal RNA
Rfam family: Bacterial small subunit ribosomal RNA
Source: RNAcentral